This 424-nucleotide ribosomal RNA is filed under the name Fusobacteriota bacterium. RNAcentral describes it as "Fusobacteria bacterium partial 16S ribosomal RNA". It matches the Rfam family "Bacterial small subunit ribosomal RNA", at positions 355 to 776 of the family's 1533-position model. Lineage: Bacteria; Fusobacteriati; Fusobacteriota. The record is from RNAcentral.
UGAGGAAUAUUGGUCAAUGGGCGAGAGCCUGAACCAGCCAAGUAGCGUGCAGGAUGACGGCCCUAUGGGUUGUAAACUGCUUUUAUGCGGGGAUAAAGUGCAUGACGUGUCAUGCAUUGCAGGUACCGCAUGAAUAAGGACCGGCUAAUUCCGUGCCAGCAGCCGCGGUAAUACGGAAGGUCCGGGCGUUAUCCGGAUUUAUUGGGUUUAAAGGGAGCGUAGGCCGCCAGGUAAGCGUGUUGUGAAAUGUACCGGCUCAACCGGUGAAUUGCAGCGCGAACUGUCUGGCUUGAGUGCACGGUAAGCAAGCGGAAUUAAUGGUGUAGCGGUGAAAUGCUUAGAUAUCAUGAAGAACUCCGAUUGCGAAGGCAGCUUGCUGCAGUGCGACUGACGCUGAUGCUCGAAGGUGCGGGUAUCAAACAGG